This 338-nucleotide ribosomal RNA is filed under the name uncultured soil bacterium. Its description in RNAcentral is "bacterial SSU rRNA". It matches the Rfam family "Bacterial small subunit ribosomal RNA", at positions 26 to 363 of the family's 1533-position model. The record is from RNAcentral.
AGAUUGAACGCUGGCGGCAGGCCUAACACAUGCAAGUCGAGCGGCAGCACGGGUACUUGUACCUGGUGGCGAGCGGCGGACGGGUGAGUAAUGCCUAGGAAUCUGCCUGGUAGUGGGGGAUAACGCUCGGAAACGGACGCUAAUACCGCAUACGUCCUACGGGAGAAAGCAGGGGACCUUCGGGCCUUGCGCUAUCAGAUGAGCCUAGGUCGGAUUAGCUAGUUGGUGAGGUAAUGGCUCACCAAGGCGACGAUCCGUAACUGGUCUGAGAGGAUGAUCAGUCACACUGGAACUGAGACACGGUCCAGACUCCGUACGGGAGCAGCAGGUGGGGAAUA